AGCGAACGCUGGCGGCAGGCUUAACACAUGCAAGUCGAGCGGGCAUCCUUGUGGUGUCAGCGGCAGACGGGUGAGUAACGCGUGGGAACGUGCCCUUCGGUUCGGAAUAACUCAGGGAAACUUGAGCUAAUACCGGAUACGUGCGAGAGCAGAAAGGUUUAUCUGCCGAAGGAUCGGCCCGCGUCUGAUUAGCUAGUUGGUGAGGUUACGGCUCACCAAGGCGACGAUCAGUAGCUGGUCUGAGAGGAUGAUCAGCCACACUGGGACUGAGACACGGCCCAGACUCCUGCGGGACGGCGCAGGGGGAAAUAUUGGAACAGGGGGCCAACCCUUACCCACCCUUGCUGCGGGAGGUUUGCAGCCGUAGGGGUUGAAAAGCUCUUUUCUCCGGGGCGAUAAGGACGGUACCGAAGAAAUAAGCCCCGGCUAACUUCGUG
RNAcentral lists this ribosomal RNA (437 nucleotides) under uncultured bacterium. RNAcentral describes it as "partial 16S ribosomal RNA". It matches the Rfam family "Bacterial small subunit ribosomal RNA", at positions 29 to 507 of the family's 1533-position model. The record is from RNAcentral.